CACUCCUUUUCUCUCUCAUCAGCUAAAGCUAUUAGGCUACAAUACUAACCCAAUGCUUCAAGAUAUCCUCGCAAUAUUGUAGAAUAAACCCAUAAAAAGUCUUGCAAAAUUUUGUGCCGAUUCAUACAAGAUUUUCUUUUGACCCAUAUAUAGUUUAAGAGGCUGAUGUCUUGAUUUUUCUGGUUUUUGAGGUUGCUUUUAUGGUGUUGUGUCUACUGUUGAUUGCUUGUGUGGGUUUGGAGAUGUGAGAUCUGUGCUGAAAAAAGUACGUAAAGAAAUGGCUGAGGUCUCGAAUAUGGGUUACACGGAGCCCGUGAUAGCAGAAAUGGGAAUUUCAGGCAUCGGAAAAGUGGAUGCUGAGACAGCGUUAUACACGGAGCUAUGGAAAGCUUGUGCUGGUCCUUUAGUCACUGUGCCUCGGGAAAAUGAGCUCGUUUUCUAUUUCCCUCAGGGUCACAUAGAACAGGUGGAGGCAUCAACUAAUCAAAGUGCAGACCAGCAGAUGCCUGUGUAUAAUCUUCCUCCGAAGAUCCUUUGCCGUGUGGUUAAUGUUUUACUGAAGGCUGAACCAGACACAGAUGAGGUAUUUGCGCAUGUGAUUUUGAUGCCAGAACCUUAUCAAGAUGAGAAUGCUGUGAAGAAGGAGCCUCUGCCGCCCACACCUCCAUGUUUUCAUGUCCAUUCUUUCUGCAAGACUCUAACUGCCUCUGAUACAAGCACUCAUGGUGGAUUCUCGGUUCUGAGACGGCAUGCAGAUGAAUGUCUACCCCCACUGGACAUGUCACUUCAACCUCCAACUCAGGAACUAGUAGCCAAAGACUUGCACGGAAAUGAGUGGAGGUUUCGGCAUAUUUUUCGUGGUCAACCACGGAGGCACCUCCUUCAGAGUGGUUGGAGUGUUUUUGUUAGUUCUAAGAGGCUUGUUGCUGGCGACGCCUUCAUAUUUCUAAGAGGUGAGAAUGGGGAGCUUCGUGUUGGAGUUAGGCGUGCGAUGAGACAAGAAGGAAAUGCUCCGUCGUCCGUCAUAUCAUGUCAUAGCAUGCAUCUUGGUGUGCUGGCAACAGCUAUGCAUGCCAUUCAGACAAAAACAAUAUUCACAGUAUAUUACAAGCCUAGGACGAGCCCAUCCGAGUUCAUUGUGCCGUUUGAUCAGUACAUGGAGUCUGUGAAAAACAAUUAUUUAAUAGGAAUGAAGUUUAAAAUGAGAUUUGAAGGUGAAGAAGCUCCAGAGCAGAGGUUUACUGGAACAAUAGUUGGUAUUGAAGCAUCUGAUUCAAGAAGGUGGCCACAAUCGAAAUGGAGAUGUCUAAAGGUGCGUUGGGAUGAAAUGUCCACAAUAUCUCGACCAGAGAGGGUUUCUCCUUGGGAAAUAGAACCUUCUCUUUCUCCUCCUGCCCUUAAUCCACUUCCUGUGCCCAGACCAAAACGACCUCGAUCAAAUGUCUUGCCCGUUUCCUCGGACUCUUCUGUCCUUACCAGGGAAAGUUCAGCUAAGAUGACUGUAGACCCUUCACCAGCCAGUGGGUUUCCAAUGGUCUUCCAAGGUCAAGAAUUGUCAAUCUUGAAAGGCACUUUUUCAGAGAGCAAUGAAUCAGAUUCUUCCGAAAAGCCAAUGUUGUGGCCACCUUCAUCAGAUGAAGAAAAGAUUGAGCAUGUUUCCUCUUCAAGAAGAUAUGGGUCGGAUAAGUGGUUGCCUUUAGGAAGGCCAGAGUCGUCAUUCACAGAUCUUUUAUCAGGUUUUGGAUCACAAUAUAAUUUGUCCCGUGAGUUCUCUUUGCCUUCAGGUAAUACUGCAGUUUCCAAGCAACAAGUAGAAGAGCGUGAAGAGAAGUUCUGCUUAAUUGGAAAUGCAUGGUCUAUGAUACCUUCUUGUCUCUCGCUUAAUUUGAUGGAUACUGGUAUGAAAACUCAUGGACAAGGUCCUGAUGCUUCGUAUCACACACAAGGGGAUAUUAGAUGCAGUGGUGGAUUGAGAGAAUAUUCUAUGCUUCCUGAUCACAGAGAUGGCAAUAAGCAUGUAAAUUGGUUGAUGCCUCCACCAAAUUCACCGUAUCUUCAAAUAACUCCUGGUCAAUCUAGAGAACUGCAGCCAAAUUCUGUAUUUGCACAACGUGACACCACAAAACCCAAGGAAGGUAACUGCAAGCUCUUUGGUGUUCCCCUUAUAAGUGGCUCUGUUCCAACAGAGCAAGAACUGUUGCACACGAAUGCAAUGAUUGAAACAAGUCGUGUACAUGGUGUGAUGCAUUCUCAUCAGUCCCCAGCGUUAGCAUCUGAUCAGAGGUCUGAUCAAUCAAAGGGCUUAAAGAUGGCAGAUAAUCCAGUUGCAAGUGAGCAGGAUAAACAUUUUCAAACUUGCCAUCCGCUUGCUAGAGAGAGGGAAGGCAAAGGUGUUUCUGGUUCAACAAGGAGUUGCACCAAGGUUCAUAAGCAGGGGGCUGCCCUUGGUAGGUCAGUUGAUCUUGCCAAGUUCAACAACUAUGAUGAACUGACUGCUGAUUUGGAUAAUAUCUUUGAAUUUAAUGGUGAACUCAAGGCUCCAAAUAAGAAUUGGCUUGUAGUUUAUACUGAUGACGAAGAUGAUAUGAUGCUUGUUGGAGAUGACCCGUGGGAAGAAUUCUGUAGCAUGGUUCAUAAGAUCCUAAUCUGUACGAAAGAUGAGGUCCAACGGAUGAACUGGGGCACCAUAAAUUCACGAGAGGAAAUUUCAUCAGUUGCAGGAGGCUUGGAUGCUAAAGAAACGAAGAAUUUGCAAGUUGCUCAAGGCUCAAGCCCAGAGAAUUACUAACAAUCCUCGUUUAUGUAAAGUCAUUUUUCUUUGCUGCCACUGCCUUUUUUGCUUCAUCUUUUGGGGGUAUGUUGUCCAUCUAGCAGAUGAAUUUUGGGUACAUGAAUAUGAAGUUCCAUUAAACUCUGGAAGGUUGAACUUCUUGAUUUUGCAAUUUUGUUAUAUUUUUCCCAGGGCCAACAUGAGGUGCCUGGUAUUUUGUGCAUAAUAUACGUAUGAGCAAUGAACAUGCAUCCACCUUGUUCGACCUUUUGUACCCGAACUUCUCUGAUAUCUCCAGCAUUAAUUUAAGCAAGAAGUUGAAUACAUAUAUGGGUUUCGUGCA
This is an RNA transcript of Olea europaea var. sylvestris, 3113 nucleotides long. It is a transcript of the gene named auxin response factor 2B, with no coding region annotated. The transcript is spliced from 15 exons. The record is from RefSeq and is a predicted model, not a curated record. NCBI's taxonomy places the organism in Eukaryota, Viridiplantae, Streptophyta, Magnoliopsida, Lamiales, Oleaceae.